GAUGAACGCUGGCGGCGUGCUUAACACAUGCAAGUCGAACGGAAAGGCCUUAAAAGUGUGGGCUGAUGGAGUGGCGAACGGGUAAGUGAGACGGGAGUAACAUGCCCUAGGCUUUGGGAUAAAUUCAGGAAAAUAGGGUUAAGACAGGAUAGGAGAUACCGUAGGAUAGUGAGGGAUGGAAAGUUUGGGCGGUCGGAGAUGGAUUGGCGGGUUAUGGGCUUGCUGGUGGGGAAGUAGCUGGCCAACGCAGGGAACGGUAGGCGGCCUGUGAGGGUGACCGGCCACCUUGGGACUGAGAGACGCCCCAGACUCCUACGGGAGGCAGAAGUGGGGAGUAUUGCACAAUGAGCGGACGCCUGAUUCAGCAACGCCCCGUGCGUGAUGACGGCCUGCGGGUUGUAAACCGCUUUCGCCUGUGACGAAGCUUGAGUGACGGUAACCUAUGAAGAAGCACCGGCUAACUACGUG
Molecule: ribosomal RNA, 468 nt
Filed under: uncultured bacterium
Lineage: Bacteria
Description: partial 16S ribosomal RNA
Rfam family: Bacterial small subunit ribosomal RNA
Source: RNAcentral